Molecule: unclassified non-coding RNA, 208 nt
Filed under: uncultured Orbiliales
Lineage: Eukaryota; Fungi; Ascomycota; Orbiliomycetes; Orbiliales
Description: sequence contains ITS1
Source: RNAcentral
AAAAGAAUUUGGCCUCGCGGCCUUCACUGGAAAGCGGCCACGGGGUUCAUCCCCCGGGGUCGCCGACAGUUCUACCCACUGUGAAACCCCUUGUUGCUUCGGCAGCGCCUCCCCGUCCGCGGGGAGGGUCAGCCUGCCGGCGGCACAUCGGAAACCCUUUCAUGAACCUGCACAAGAAACGUCUGAGAGCGCAGUCGAAUGACACAUA